CCUACGGGUGGCAGCAGUGAGGAAUAUUGGUCAAUGGACGAGAGUCUGAACCAGCCAAGUAGCGUGAAGGAUGACUGCCCUAUGGGUUGUAAACUUCUUUUAUAGGGGAAUAAAACGUUCCACGUGUGGGAUUUUGUAUGUACCAUAUGAAUAAGGAUCGGCUAACUCCGUGCCAGCAGCCGCGGUAAUACGGAGGAUCCGAGCGUUAUCCGGCUUUAUUGGGGUGCAAGGGAGCGUAGGUGGCUUGUUAAGUCAGUUGUGAAAGUUUGCGGCUCACCCGUAAAAUUGCCGUUGAAACUGGCAGUCUUGAGUACAGUAGCGGUGGGCUGACUUCGUGGUGUAGCGGUUAAAUGCUUCGCUAUCACG
This 366-nucleotide ribosomal RNA is filed under the name uncultured bacterium. Its description in RNAcentral is "partial 16S ribosomal RNA". It matches the Rfam family "Bacterial small subunit ribosomal RNA", at positions 338 to 701 of the family's 1533-position model. The record is from RNAcentral.